Molecule: ribosomal RNA, 300 nt
Filed under: Triticum aestivum (bread wheat)
Lineage: Eukaryota; Viridiplantae; Streptophyta; Magnoliopsida; Poales; Poaceae
Description: partial small subunit ribosomal RNA
Source: RNAcentral
AUGGAUGUGUGGCGCUUCCGCUGCAAGAAUGCCAAGGCGCUCCGACUCGCCAGCGAGUUGUCGGAGCGCGGGGCAAACAAGGAGGCGGCGGCAAAGGCGGCCCGCCAUGCGAAGGAGCAGGACCGCCUGCUCCGCGGGCUGUCGGGCAUGAGGUGCAGCUCGACGACGACGCACCUUCGCACGGUGACGCCUGCACGGAGGUGGGGCACAACCACGCCACGACCAGAAGGGGAAGGGGCCGGCGAGGAAAUGGUGAUUUCCUCCGCCCUUCCCCGUUAUGUUUAUAUUUUAGUGUUUUAA